UAGGCCUAUGAAAAAUCAAAUUCGAACCUAAAUUUGCACUUUAGGACAGCUAGGCCUG
Molecule: transfer RNA, 58 nt
Filed under: Paralaudakia himalayana
Lineage: Eukaryota; Metazoa; Chordata; Lepidosauria; Squamata; Agamidae
Description: tRNA-Cys
Source: RNAcentral